UAGCAUAUCAAUAAGCGGAGGAAAAGAAACCAACCGGGAUUGCCUCAGUAACGGCGAGUGAAGCGGCAAGAGCUCAAAUUUGAAAGCUGGCUCCUUCGGGGUCCGCAUUGUAAUUUGCAGAGGAUGCUUCGGGUGCGGCCCCUGUCUAAGUGCCCUGGAACGGGCCGUCAGAGAGGGUGAGAAUCCCGUCUGGGAUGGGGUGUCCGCGCCCGUGUGAAGCUCCUUCGACGAGUCGAGUUGUUUGGGAAUGCAGCUCUAAAUGGGUGGUAAAUUUCAUCUAAAGCUAAAUACUGGCCGGAGACCGAUAGCGCACAAGUAGAGUGAUCGAAAGAUGAAAAGCACUUUGAAAAGAGAGUUAAAAAGCACGUGAAAUUGUUGAAAGGGAAGCGCUUGCGACCAGACUCGCCUCCAGGGUUCAGCCGGCAUUCGUGCCGGUGUACUUCCCUGGGGGCGGGCCAGCGUCGGUUUGGGCGGCCGGUCAAAGGCUCCCGGAAUGUAGUGCCCUUCGGGGCACCUUAUAGCCGGGAGUGCAAUGCGGCCAGCCUGGACCGAGGAACGCGCUUCGGCACGGACGCUGGCAUAAUGGUCGCAAACGACCCGUCUUGAAACACGGACCAAGGAGUCUAACAUCUACGCGAGUGUUCGGGUGUCAAACCCGUACGCGCAGUGAAAGCGAACGGAGGUGGGAGCCCCCUCGCGGGGCGCACCAUCGACCGAUCCUGAUGUCUUCGGAUGGAUUUGAGUAAGAGCGUAAAUGUGGGGACCCGAAAGAUGGUGAACUAUGCCUGAAUAGGGCGAAGCCAGAGGAAACUCUGGUGGAGGCUCGCAGCGGUUCUGACGUGCAAAUCGAUCGUCAAAUUUGGGUAUAGGGGCGAAAG
Molecule: ribosomal RNA, 878 nt
Filed under: Aspergillus flavofurcatus
Lineage: Eukaryota; Fungi; Ascomycota; Eurotiomycetes; Eurotiales; Aspergillaceae
Description: LSU rRNA
Rfam family: Eukaryotic large subunit ribosomal RNA
Source: RNAcentral